UAUUUUCUCAGGAAAAAAUAUUUUUUUAAGUUUUGGAAGCUGCAAUGAAAUAAUAUUUUAGAUCCAACAAAUAAUUCAUCUCUCCAGCAGAGCCCAGGAACCUCAAGCAGAAGAGACCAGCAAGGCCAUGAGGAUGCAUACAGAAGAUGUCUAGCUUGGUGGUCCUGGGCCGUGGCAGGAAAGUCAGAGCUGAAACUUGUGGCCAAGGAUGAAGCCUGACAUGGUGUCAUCUUUUCUUACAAUCUGCUCUGGGAACUUCACCUCUGGAAUCACUCUUGGGGUAAGUCAAUAGAGAUGGCCAUCAUUGCCAGAAGGCCCAAGGUAGCCAUUUGAAUAUUCCUACAGGAGGAUGAGUGGUACCAU
This 363-nucleotide long non-coding RNA is filed under the name Vulpes vulpes (red fox). Its description in RNAcentral is "lncRNA (ENSVVUG00000004479.1)". The record is from RNAcentral. Lineage: Eukaryota; Metazoa; Chordata; Mammalia; Carnivora; Canidae.